Molecule: ribosomal RNA, 474 nt
Filed under: uncultured organism
Description: partial 16S ribosomal RNA
Rfam family: Bacterial small subunit ribosomal RNA
Source: RNAcentral
ACUCCUACGGGAGGCAGCAGUGGGGAAUUUUGGACAAUGGGCGAAAGCCUGAUCCAGCCAUGCCGCGUGCAGGAUGAAGGCCUUCGGGUUGUAAACUGCUUUUGUACGGAACGAAACGGCCUUUUCUAAUAAAGAGGGCUAAUGACGGUACCGUAAGAAUAAGCACCGGCUAACUACGUGCCAGCAGCCGCGGUAAUACGUAGGGUGCAAGCGUUAAUCGGAAUUACUGGGCGUAAAGCGUGCGCAGGCGGUUAUGUAAGACAGUUGUGAAAUCCCCGGGCUCAACCUGGGAACUGCAUCUGUGACUGCAUAGCUAGAGUACGGUAGAGGGGGAUGGAAUUCCGCGUGUAGCAGUGAAAUGCGUAGAUAUGCGGAGGAACACCGAUGGCGAAGGCAAUCCCCUGGACCUGUACUGACGCUCAUGCACGAAAGCGUGGGGAGCAAACAGGAUUAGAAACCCCGGUAGUCCCAUGA